UUUUUUUUUCUUGGAUUGCUUACUCUGGGGGAAAUAUCCUUGCCAUUUGUGAAGUCACUCAGUCACUACGUGGAGGAUUCCAUGUAGAAGACGUCCACAGAUGCCACCAGCCACCCACCAGGCACCAGUCAUGUGAGUCAUGUGAGUGAGCCACGUUGGAAGAUGAGGCUUCAGCCUUUCUAAGCUUUCAAGUGCCCAAAGAAAACCCCUGUUGACAGCUUCAUUGUAUCGUUACCUGAAACCCUGAGCCAGAAGCAUCCUGCUAAGUCAUUAUUUUAACUUGGGAAUGUCAUCCAACAUACAUGUAGGAGGAAUAACAUAUGUUGUGGAACAGAAAGAGGUGAUGUGUUACUAUCCAGAAAACCUGCAACAUCUUGUAUUUCAGGCUGAAACAUGCCCUCUAGCAAAACCUUUGGAACUACUAGCACUCCAGAAGAGGACUUCCACACUUUGGGGAUAUACUGUAGAGUUUCCCUCUGUGAUCUACGGAUGCAUUUAGAAAGCAUUGUUUCUGAAAUCGUCUACUAAUUUCACUGUGGGCAAUAGGAUAAUGAAGUGGCCAAAGCCAGUGAUACCAGUUGUCAGAGAAAAAGUGAAUAUGGUUUUUAACAUAAUUGAUAACCUUCCAA
Molecule: long non-coding RNA, 629 nt
Organism: Cavia porcellus (domestic guinea pig)
Lineage: Eukaryota; Metazoa; Chordata; Mammalia; Rodentia; Caviidae
Exons: 3
Source: RefSeq, a predicted model, not a curated record